UCCAGGGUAGCCUAGUGGACAUGGCAUCUGCCCGGUAAGCGGAACGUUGUGGGUUCGAUUCCCAUCUCUGGAC
This 73-nucleotide transfer RNA is filed under the name Cordylochernes scorpioides. Its description in RNAcentral is "tRNA-Thr". It matches the Rfam family "tRNA". From Rfam's summary of the family: Transfer RNA (tRNA) molecules are approximately 80 nucleotides in length. Their secondary structure includes four short double-helical elements and three loops (D, anti-codon, and T loops). Lineage: Eukaryota; Metazoa; Arthropoda; Arachnida; Pseudoscorpiones; Chernetidae. The record is from RNAcentral.